AGUGAACGCUGGCGGUAGGCCUAACACAUGCAGGUCGAACGGCAGCACAGUAAGAGCUUGCUCUUACGGGUGGCGAGUGGCGGACGGGUGAGGAAUACAUCGGAAUCUACUUUUUCGUGGGGGAUAACGUAGGGAAACUUACGCUAAUACCGCAUACGACCUACGGGUGAAAGCAGGGGAUCUUCGGACCCUGCGCGAUUGAAUGAGCCGAUGUCGGAUUAGCUAGUUGGCGGGGUAAAGGCCCACCAAGGCGACGAUCCGUAGCUGGUCUGAGAGGAUGAUCAGCCACACUGGAACUGAGACACGGUCCAGACUCCUACGGGAGGCAGCAGUGGGGAAUAUUGGACAAUGGGCGCAAGCCUGAUCCAGCCAUACCGCGUGGGUGAAGAAGGCCUUCGGGUUGUAAAGCCCUUUUGUUGGGAAAGAAAAGCAGCAGGUUAAUACCCCGCUGUUCUGACGGUACCCAAAGAAUAAGCACCGGCUAACUUCGUG
RNAcentral lists this ribosomal RNA (492 nucleotides) under uncultured bacterium. RNAcentral describes it as "partial 16S ribosomal RNA". It matches the Rfam family "Bacterial small subunit ribosomal RNA", at positions 29 to 507 of the family's 1533-position model. The record is from RNAcentral.